CGGCGCGGGGAUCGCCCCCCACCAGCGUGUUACGCCCGUGGGGGCGAAACCA
RNAcentral lists this small RNA (52 nucleotides) under Sulfitobacter sp. HI0023. Its description in RNAcentral is "Oceanibulbus sp. HI0023 ffh sRNA". It matches the Rfam family "ffh sRNA". Lineage: Bacteria; Pseudomonadati; Pseudomonadota; Alphaproteobacteria; Rhodobacterales; Roseobacteraceae. The record is from Rfam by way of RNAcentral.